Molecule: ribosomal RNA, 465 nt
Filed under: Flavobacterium sp. 01WB02.2-5
Lineage: Bacteria; Pseudomonadati; Bacteroidota; Flavobacteriia; Flavobacteriales; Flavobacteriaceae
Also listed under: 4 other names
Description: bacterial SSU rRNA
Rfam family: Bacterial small subunit ribosomal RNA
Source: RNAcentral
UGAGCUUGAUCCUGGCUCAGGAUGAACGCUAGCGGCAGGCUUAACACAUGCAAGUCGAGGGGUAUAGUUCUUCGGAAUUAGAGACCGGCGCACGGGUGCGUAACGCGUAUGCAAUCUACCUUUUACAGAGGGAUAGCCCAGAGAAAUUUGGAUUAAUACCUCAUAGUAUAAUGACUUGGCAUCAAGACAUUAUUAAAGUCACAACGGUAAAAGAUGAGCAUGCGUCCCAUUAGCUAGUUGGUAAGGUAACGGCUUACCAAGGCUACGAUGGGUAGGGGUCCUGAGAGGGAGAUCCCCCACACUGGUACUGAGACACGGACCAGACUCCUACGGGAGGCAGCAGUGAGGAAUAUUGGACAAUGGGCGCAAGCCUGAUCCAGCCAUGCCGCGUGCAGGAUGACGGUCCUAUGGAUUGUAAACUGCUUUUAUACGAGAAGAAACACUACUUCGUGAAGUAGCUGACGG